RNAcentral lists this ribosomal RNA (465 nucleotides) under uncultured bacterium. Its description in RNAcentral is "partial 16S ribosomal RNA". It matches the Rfam family "Bacterial small subunit ribosomal RNA", at positions 339 to 795 of the family's 1533-position model. The record is from RNAcentral.
CUACGGGAGGCAGCAGUGAGGAAUUUUGCGCAAUGGGGGAAACCCUGACGCAGCAACGCCGCGUGAGUGAUGAAGGCUUUCGAGUCGUAAAGCUCUGUCAAGUGGGAAGAACCUACUAAGUGCCAAUACCACUUAGUACAGACGGUACCACUGAAGGAAGCACCGGCUAACUCCGUGCCAGCAGCCGCGGUAAUACGGGGGGUGCAAGCGUUACUCGGAAUUAUUGGGCGUAAAGGGCGCGCAGGCGGCCAGGUAAGUCAGAUGUGAAAGCCCGGGGCUCAACCCCGGAAGUGCAUUUGAAACUACUUGGCUUGAGUAUGGGAGAGGGAAGUGGAAUUCCUGGUGUAGAGGUGAAAUUCGUAGAUAUCAGGAGGAACACCGGUGGCGAAGGCGACUUCCUGGACCAAUACUGACGCUGAGGCGCGAAGGCGUGGGUAGCAAACAGGAUUAGAUACCCUUGUAGUC